Molecule: long non-coding RNA, 768 nt
Filed under: Zostera marina
Lineage: Eukaryota; Viridiplantae; Streptophyta; Magnoliopsida; Alismatales; Zosteraceae
Description: long non-coding RNA (ZMAR_LNC003496)
Source: RNAcentral
GAAUGUCUCCGCAGAGUCGAUAGUUAUCAACUGAGUUCGUUAGUAACAACCAACUAACUAUCCAAGGAAACAACUAUAAUAUCGAGGUUAUUAUUUUUCCAGUUCAAUAUAAUCCUUGCUUAUCUUCUUCUUUAUCUUCGACUAUAAUCUUCUGGUGGAUUCCAGAUUUACUAAGCUGGUGAAUUUCGACCUUCUCCCCUUGUAACGUGCAACAAUUCCGCUAACCAAUCGAUGAUAUUGAUUCUUGAUUUUAGUUCUUACUUAUGUAUUUCAUCGAACACCUAUAAAAUUGCUACUAUUGUGAUUUAUCAAUUGAAUAAAAUAGAGAUUGGCUUCUCCUGUGCAUUCGCUCCCCAAAUUCUUCCCUCAAUGGACUGUUACUGUUAUUUACCCUUGUUUUUUUGCAAUUUAUUGCCUACCAUUAAACCCUAAUUCUAAUCCUUCAACUUUAAAACCAGGUUUUUUUUUGAAUAUAUUGUAUGCCGAUGUUUAAUUAUUUCCGUUAAUGUUUUUUCUGUAUUGUGUAAACUAUUGUUUUUUUCACUUUUCAGAUUGCUUCAAGCAACUCACAGAUUCUGGAUUCAUUUUAUAAUUCUAAUUAAUUCAACACCCAACAUCCAAAGCAAACAAGCAGCAUCUAGUGGAAUAUUGCCCUAUAUGUAACUAGAAUAUGUAAAAAUCCCUCAUAUAUAGUCUUAUUCUGAAGAUAUAUCCCCAAUUUUGUAAACCUUUACUUAUUCUUCAUCCUCUUAGCAUUGCCUUCUUUCA